This 468-nucleotide ribosomal RNA is filed under the name uncultured bacterium. Its description in RNAcentral is "partial 16S ribosomal RNA". It matches the Rfam family "Bacterial small subunit ribosomal RNA", at positions 28 to 507 of the family's 1533-position model. The record is from RNAcentral.
GACGAACGCUAGCGGCGUGCUUAACACAUGCAAGUCGAACGGAAAGGCCCUGCUUUUGUUGGGUGCUCGAGUGGCGAACGGGUGCGUAACACGUGAGUACCCUUCCCUUGACUUUAGGAUAACUUCAUGAACCUGGGGCUAAUACCGGAUAGGAGCUCCUCCUGCAUGGUGGGGGUUGGAAAGUGUCGGCGGUUGGGGAUGGACUCGCGGCUUAUCAGCUUGUUGGUGGGGUAGUGGCUUACCAAGGCUUUGACGGGUAGCCGGCCUGAGAGGGGGACCGGCCACAUGGGGACUGAGAUACGGCACAGACUACUACGGGAGGCAGCAGUGGGGAAUAUUGCACGAUGGGCGGAAGCCGGAUGCAGCAACGCCGCGUGAGGGAUGACGGCCUUCGGGUUGUAAACCGCUUUCGCCUGUGACGAAGCGUGAGUGAAGGUAAUGUGUAAAGAAGCACCGGCUAACUACGUG